AAGCAUUGUAGGUGUUGAUUUUAAGAUCAAAACACUCACAAUAGAGUCAAAUCUUGUGCUUUCUGUUCUUGAAAUUAGACCUUUUGUUUAAACCCAGCAGCAUGUGAUUAGCACAGAUAGAAUGAAAUGUCUCUCAUGUAGUGUUGUGGUUAUUCUUUGACCAAAGUGACUAAUUUAAGUGGUAUAUUGACUAAACAUAACAUUACAUCUAUUGCAGCAGGGCAGGAAAGGUUCAGAACUCUCAUUGCAACUGAUUUGUGAGAAAUGGACUUCACUUCUAGCACUUUCACGUGUAAAGUAUAAUCAUAAAAUUAUUAAAAUGUCCAUUUUCAGCACCAUGAUCAUUUUACUAUGCGUGUGUUGGGUUCUACAUCUGUUUCCCACCAAAAUCAUGUCAAAUACACCUGUCAUGGGCGAGGAAACGUAGAAUCGAACACAAGCUAGGCUAGGUUUGUUCAUUUUAGUAAACUUUGUCUAAGUUGCAUGAUGCAGUCUAAGAAUCUAUUAGAAAAUUAUGGUAUUAUAUUCUUUCUUUAUUUUUUUCUUAUUAUAUUGUCAAACUAUUUUUUGUUCUGAUUUUGUUUUUUUUUCCCCAAUCAGAGCAUUAUUUUGAAUAUGCCCUUGUCAAAUUUUGUACUGUUAUAUGUUAACGAUUAUUGUUUGAUUUUAUACUUUGC
This 677-nucleotide long non-coding RNA is filed under the name Glycine max (soybean). RNAcentral describes it as "long non-coding RNA (GMAX_LNC003122)". Lineage: Eukaryota; Viridiplantae; Streptophyta; Magnoliopsida; Fabales; Fabaceae. The record is from RNAcentral.